AUUGAACGCUGGCGGCAUGCCUUACACAUGCAAGUCGAACGGUAACAGGUCUUCGGAUGCUGACGAGUGGCGAACGGGUGAGUAAUACAUCGGAACGUGCCCGAUCGUGGGGGAUAACGAGGCGAAAGCUUUGCUAAUACCGCAUACGAUCUACGGAUGAAAGCGGGGGAUCUUCGGACCUCGCGCGGACGGAGCGGCCGAUGGCAGAUUAGGUAGUUGGUGGGAUAAAAGCUUACCAAGCCGACGAUCUGUAGCUGGUCUGAGAGGAUGAUCAGCCACACUGGCACUGAGACACGGCCCAGACUCCUACGGGAGGCAGCAGUGGGGAAUUUUGGACAAUGGGCGAAAGCCUGAUCCAGCCAUGCCGCGUGCAGGAUGAUGGCCUUCGGGUUGUAAACUGCUUUUGUACGGAACGAAAAGCCUCUUUCUAAUAAAGAGGGGUCAUGACGGUACCGUAAGAAUAAGCACCGGCUAACUACGUG
Molecule: ribosomal RNA, 482 nt
Filed under: uncultured bacterium
Lineage: Bacteria
Description: partial 16S ribosomal RNA
Rfam family: Bacterial small subunit ribosomal RNA
Source: RNAcentral